RNAcentral lists this ribosomal RNA (462 nucleotides) under Blastocystis sp. subtype 5. Its description in RNAcentral is "SSU rRNA". It matches the Rfam family "Eukaryotic small subunit ribosomal RNA", at positions 505 to 979 of the family's 1831-position model. Lineage: Eukaryota; Bigyra; Opalinata; Blastocystidae. The record is from RNAcentral.
UGCAUUGGAUUGAGGACCAUGUACAAAUGUUAUCGAUAAACAAUUGGAGGGCAAGUCUGGUGCCAGCCGCCGGGUAAUUCCCGCUCCAAUAGCGUAUAUUAACGUUGUUGCCGUUAAAAAGCUCGGAGUUGAAAUGGGGGAAGGAGGAUAUUAUGGAUUUCUAAUUCAAUUUUAUAUUGAUUCCCCUCUCCCAUUUAUUAUUAUGGGUAUUAAUUUAUUUGUAAUAAGAAUUGGUCAUUUACUGGGAGAAAAUUAGAGUGUUCAAAGCAGGCCUUUGCUUGAAUAGAUUAGCAUGGAAUAAUACUAAAAGGCUUUUAUGGUCCAUUUAAUUGGUUUGUUCCUAAAAGCCAGAUUAAAAGGAACAGUUGGGGGUAUUCAUAUUCCAUAGUUAGAGGUGAAAUUCUCGGAUUUAUGGAAGAAGAACCAGUGCCCAAAGCAAAUUUAUUGUGCUUCCCCCCACAU